CCUCACCAACAAAUGUUGUGUGCCCAAACAGCUGAACAACCCCUCACCGAAGUCCAAAACGUCACAAAAUAUCGUCAUAAUAAUAUGCACGAACUCUACCGAACUGUUUCGGCUGGGAAGCAUGUGGACGCUUUAAGAAUCAAGCAAGAUGUGUUGCCAACUCAUUUUAAUGUUUCAGGUGGUGAAAUCAAGGAUGUGAAAACGAGAGUGGCAAAGGUUUAAAAAGGUGUGGAAAAGAAUAACAAUGUCUACCAUAGACGUCUCACUGAUCUGGGACAAUACACAAGAAGAUGGAACCUGAGACUCUACGGCUUGCCAGAGGUGGAGAAUGAAGAUGUGCGAGGAGAGGCUAUCCGCAUCUGCCAAGAAGUUAUGCCUGCAGAGAAGAACAAAGUUGGUGAUACCAUGGACGUUGUGCAUCGCCUCGGCAAGAAGCAACAGCAAAACGAUUCAAGACCUAGGGGUAUCAUCAUCCUCUUCAAUGCCAGAUUCUACAGGGAAGCUGUCUGGAAAGCUGCUAGGAAGAACGCCUUCCUUCAGAGCCAGGGUAUGCGUUUCACCGAGCAUCUCAGCCCGGAGGACAUAGAAAGAAGGAACAAGUUGUGGCCAACGAUCAAGAUAACACGAAAUGAGGGAAAGGCUGCUUACUUCGUGGGAGGACGAGGCUUCAUCAACGGUUCAGAAAUCCAUAUUCCUCCCUAAAAUUUCACCAGAAGGAACAGGUUGAUGGUUUCAGCCAUGGUAUUCUCCUUUUCCUUAUGUUGUUUACUUAACAAGCACCAGGUGACUAUUUUUCAGGAAUACUCAGGUACUUCAAUUUAUUAGUUUGUUCUUGUAUGACCGGAAGUCCUAUUUUGUUUACAAACUUACGAAGAAGAUUCUUACUCAAUUUCAGCUGAUGCCAACUUCUGGAGGUCACAGUGGGGCAACGAUAUUUGGCUUUCCCAUGGAUCUGAACGCUCCGCCGAUGUCACUACAAUGAAAAAUACCUUUGGUGGUAAUAUUCUACACUCGGAAUGUGACCCAUUAUCUACAUUUCCCAAUUUGUUAUUAUUGAUAGGAGGGGACUUUGACAUUACUAUAGAUCAUUCAACCGAUACAGUAGAUGGCCCCCAGGUAGGCCAACCAAUCAGAAUUUGGGUUUAAUACUUUUUAUGGAAAAGUUUGAUCUUACUGAUAUAUGGAGAGAGAGGUUUCCGGCCGACAGAUCAUUCACUUGGAGUAACAAAACAGGCUCCAGACAAUCCAGAAUAGAUUUUUGGCUUAUAUCCAAAUGUAUUGAUAGUGAGUGUGUUACUACAAAUAUUUGUACUACUCCCCUCACAGACCAUAGGGCAUUUACAUUGAUAUCAAAAUAUUUACCCCUGAUACUAACCUUGGUAUAGCAUCCUACUGGAAGCUAAAUAGAUCAUUAUUAAAUAAUGAUAUAGUUCAAUUUGAUGUUAAAGAUCUGCUCUCACACAUUUGGGAAAGGGCUUGUGAAGAAAAAUAUUAUUGCAAGAACUGGGAGCUCUUUAAAUUUGAGGUGUCCAAAUACCUUAGAAAAUAUGGUAGUAUUCUUGCUAAGACCAGAAGAGCUGAGGAGGAAAAGGUGAUCAAUUAAGAUAACUUCCCUUUCUCAGAGGUCCCCAGCCGACCUAUCGGGGGAGAAGAAGAUGGAACUAAUUGAGUUACAAAAUAAACAGGAUAAUAUAUAUAAAUUAAAAGAAGAAGGAGCCUUUAUUGGAUCUAUAAUGUU
This is a long non-coding RNA of Oncorhynchus keta (chum salmon), 1738 nucleotides long. RefSeq lists it as uncharacterized. The transcript is spliced from 2 exons. The record is from RefSeq and is a predicted model, not a curated record. Lineage: Eukaryota; Metazoa; Chordata; Actinopteri; Salmoniformes; Salmonidae.